AUAAUAAAUCAAAUAUGGACUAUAUAUAUGGUUAUAUAGUUAUAUGCGUAUAUAUAUGUAUAUUAAUCCAAAAAUAUAUAAGAAAAAAAAUAAAAUAAGAGAUGGGUUGGUGGUAUUUGGUGGGUGGAGGAGGGUUUCUGGUGCAAAUCGAUAAAAAACAUCCAACAAAAAAAUUGAAAAACCACAUCGUGAGUGAGUGGUAGCACUUUGAGCACACUCUAUCUUUGUCUUUCAGUGAUUACGCUCAUGUGCUUCUCAGCACAGGACGUUUCCUACACCCGAUACAUCUUGCGGCUGUUGUUACAUCGUGGGAUCGAACCUUGUCCGGCGAGAUGGAAUGUACCAAAGAAGAUCAUAUAGGGUGCAGGGUUUUAGGUUAUGAGUGAGUGCAGGAGAUUGGAAUCACCUGCUAAUUUACCUAAAAUUGUAUAUGGAGAAGAAAUGAUAAAUAAAUAGAAUAAUAUCACGAAAAUUUAAUUUGAAAUUUUAAAAAUAUAUAAUUAAAAUAAUAUUAAAUAAAAUAUAGGGAGAAUUAUAUUUGAGAAAAAUAAUUUUAAUUUUCCGAUUAAAGAAAUUAAAAUGAUUAUACAAUAUUUAAAUGUGUUAAAAAAAUAAAAAAUUAGUUUGACUAAUAAUAAAAAAAGUUUAAUUUAUUAUUAUUUUUAUAAAUUUUAUUAAUUAGUUAAAAUUAUUUUUAAAAAUGUAAAAAUAUGGUAUAAUUAUUUUAAUUUUUAUAGAAAAUAAAUAUAUAUAUAUAUAAGUAUUUGAAAUAAGAAUAAAAUAAAAUAAAAUAAAUUGUGAUAAAAUAAUUAUAUUUUCUUAUAUUUAAAUAAUAAAUAUUUUCCGUUUUUAAGUAGAUUUUGAACUGAAUCAGCUUUUUUUUGUCUUUUUGGGGGAAAGGUAGUGGCAUUUCCGUCAAUUUUACAGCGGAACCCUAAAUUCAAAAAUAUGACCGUUGCAGCUUUUCGAGAUGAGAUCUCUGUGCACCUUAUAUAAACCAUUUCAGAUCAACUCUUGAGCAUCGUCAAAGAAUUCUGAUUGAAUAAUCUCUCUGCUCUAUAUAUCUUCUUCUCGUGCUCUGCAAAUUAUAUUUCUGAUAUAUGCACAUUACAUGCUUAUUGUCUUCUGCAAAAUCUUUAUUUCCUAUUUUCAUUAGUUUAAUCUAACCAUUUCUUGCAGGUGUAAUUAGUUUUUUUUUUUUUUUUUUUUUUUUAUCUCUUUCAAUUCUCUAUUGUUCUUGUUUUCUUGGUCUUUUUUUUUUCUUUUUCUAACGCCAUGGAUGUAGGAUCAGUCAAAGUUUCUUCUGAUUUGAAGGUGCAGUCUAGAUGCCCACUUCAAGAUCAGUUUCUUGUUAAAAGGAAUUCUAAGGAAAAUGUAUGCUCAACUCCCUUCCUUCCAUCGAAUUUAUGUGAAUCUUGCAGUUUUAUUUUAUUUUCCUUCGUCAAUUAGGGUUUUAGGGUUUUGAUUUUUUGUAGAUCAAUCUCUUUUGGUAAUUUAGGGUUUUGACAUUGUAGCAUUAGAUUCGAUAUCACCGAUUUGUUGUAUUUCAAGAUCUUGAAUCUGUUUUCGAUUUUUGCAGUUGGAUAGAUUCAUACCGAAUAGAUCAGCCAUGGACAUGGACUACGCGCGAUUCAUGCUGACAGCAGGAGGGAGGAAAGGGAAGGAGAAUCCGGCCGGAGGAGGAGAAGCGGCGGUGAGCUCCCCAUCGAGUGAUGCCUACCAGAAGCAACUGGCGGAGGCCUUCAACAUGAACCGAACUCGAAUCCUGGCUUUCAAGAACAAACCACCAGCAUCUUCCGAAUUGAUCCCCAAUGAACAUAUAUCUUCUUCUUUUCAACCUGCCAAACCAACAAAACCUCGUAGAUACAUUCCCCAGGUGCUUUCAUCGUUCUUUUGCAUAAAAGUUACUUUUCUUUCUAAUAAUGAAUGGCAAAUUGAUUUACAUAAACAUCCAUUAUACAGACAUCGGAGAGGACAUUAGAUGCCCCUGACAUCGUGGAUGAUUUCUACCUGAAUCUACUGGAUUGGGGCAGUGCUAAUGUUCUUGCUAUAGCCUUGGGGAGCACGGUGUAUCUGUGGGAUGCUUCCACCGGCUCCACAUCGGAACUGGUCACCGUUGACGACGAAGAUGGGCCUGUGACAAGCCUCAGCUGGGCUCCGGACGGUCGACAUAUCGCCGUCGGCUUGAACAAUUCCCGUGUCCAGCUGUGGGAUUCCGCGUCCAAUCGACAGGUAUAUUGUUCUCCCUCCCCAAAAUAAUAUUGAAACUGAAACAACCAUGGGUAGAUACGGUUGAAUAGUAAUAUACAUAGAGAAGAAGAGUAGCUUCGUUGGGAUGGAUUAAGAAUGGUGUCCAAAUCGAAUAGAAUCCAGUCCCUAUGAUUCAAAUCCAAAUUGUGAAUUGUACGAGGUGAGUAGUGUUAAGAACGAACGUCUUGUUGAGGUGAUGAUUCUGUUUAUUGCGUGGAAAAGAAUAGUCAUAUACAUGGAAAAGAAGAAUAGCUUCGUUGGGAAGGAUUAAAAUGGUAAUUAAAUGGAAUAGAAUCCAAUCCCUAUUAUUCAAAUCCAAAUUGUGAAUUGUACAAGGUGAGUAAGAGUAAGAGUAGUGUUAAGAACGAACGUCUUGUUGAGGUGAUGAUUCUGUUUAUUGCGGGGAAAAGAAUAGUCAUAUCCAUGGAAAAGAAGAAUAGCUUCGUUGGGAAGGAUUAAAAUGGUAACUAAAUGGAAUAGAAUCCAAUCUCUAUUAUUCAAAUCCAAAUUGUGAAUUGUACAAGGUGAGUAAGAGUGUUAUGAAUGAACGUGUUCUGAUAUGAUGAUUCUGUUUAAUGCAGUUGAGAACUUUGAGAGGCGGGCACAACCAUGGAAGCCGAGUGGGGUCAUUGGCAUGGAACAAUCAUAUCCUGACAACCGGAGGGAUGGAUGGUCAAAUCAUAAACAAUGAUGUUAGAGUAAGGUCCCAUAUUGUGGAAACUUACAGAGGACACAGACAAGAGGUUUGUGGGCUGAAAUGGUCAGGGUCAGGCCAACAACUAGCAAGCGGAGGCAAUGACAAUCUUCUUCACAUUUGGGACAGAUCAAUGGCGUCCUCCAAUUCUGCAACCCAGUGGCUACACAGACUAGAAGAGCAUACAUCUGCAGUGAAGGCUCUGGCAUGGUGCCCUUUCCAAGGGAACCUUCUAGCAUCCGGAGGUGGCGGAGGAGACAGGUGCAUUAAGUUUUGGAACACCCAUACCGGAGCUUGCUUGAACACGGUGGAUACAGGGUCCCAGGUAUGUGCAUUGCUGUGGAACAAGAACGAGAGAGAAUUGCUUAGCUCACAUGGGUUCACUCACAACCAGCUUACUCUGUGGAAAUAUCCAUCAAUGGUGAAAAUUGCGGAGUUAACUGGUCAUACAUCGAGGGUGCUGUACAUGGCGCAGAGUCCAGAUGGGUGCACGGUGGCGUCGGCAGCAGGGGACGAAACUCUGAGGUUCUGGAAUGUUUUUGGGGUGCCGGAAACGGCGGCUAAAGCUGCACCGAAGCAGAACCCGGAGCCAUUUUCGCAUUUGAAUCGGAUCCGCUGAAUAGAGGGAAGGAAGAAGAAGGCUGCUGUGAAUUGAAUGUAAAAAAUUUGUGCUGAAAGAGAUUGAAGAAGAUAUUCUAUAUGAUUUUGAAUAAUGAAUGUAAAAAAAUAAUGGUUAAUGGAUAGAAAGAAGGCUGAAAGUAGGCCUUUUGCCGUGGAUGUAGUCACAUACACCCAUGUGACGAACCACGUAAAUCUCUGAGUCUCUCUAUUCUUUGUCUCUUAAAGAACUCUCAUUUACUUUCUAUAUAGUAUAUAUAUAUAUAUUGAUCAAGAACUAUAUGUUGAAUUAUAUAUAUUGUAUUGGUAAAAAAAUGAAUUCAAAUUGAUAAUUGUUGGCAAAACUUCUAAAAAAUGUACUUGUUUUGAUUGUAUAAACUACUUUCAUUUUAUUUCUCCAGUUUUUGAUUUUGGUUUUUGGCAACAUCUUCUUAUAUACUUAAUUGUCUCAAAAAUAGUGUUGGGAUGGAAAGGAUCCUGAUAAAACAUUAGAUUUGGGAUGAUAUGAUUACAGAGACCUGUAAUUGUUGACUCAGGAUUCAGAUAAGAGAUAGACACAUGUACAUUGAUGAUGCAUGAACUCAGAAGAAAAAUCAUUUAUAAAUGUCUAAACCAGAAUCAGUGUGAUAAAAAAAUGGGAACUAGAAACUGGGGGAAGAUACACAAAUCAUCUAUGAAAAACUACUAAUCAAAACUCCACCCACUUAACAAAAAUAGACUUCUAACUAGUUUUACUUUUUUUCCUUUCCUCCCUUUGUCGAAACUUUCUUUCCGGGCUUCUUACGGAUAUUCUUCUUCGGUUUCAAUUUAUUCGAGGCUGAUGAAGAUUUUGCUCCCUCUUUAUUUCUUCUGUUCUUCUUCUCUUUCUUCACGUUGUACAUAUUAAUGGCCUGUUUCAAAAACAUUAUGAUGUGGGUUUGAGUCCGUUUCUACUUGGAUUUUUUAAACUCGGGAGCAUUUCGUCAACCACCAGAAAGAAAAUCCUAAAUCUAAUGCAUGCUUACCUUAUCAACAUUAAGUAUUUCAUGGGAGUUUUUGGAAAUUAGCUUGCUCAGAACUUUAUCUGUCUGCUCCUUUUCUCGGGAGCCUAUUCCUGAUCCUUCCACAACAGGUAGAAACUGCAUGAAGAUAAAAAAGGACAAGAGGAGUCAAGUACAAGCAAUGACAGGAUUUCAGCAUUAUACAGUUGAUCUUUGGUGUUCAUGUACAAACCUUGCGGUGCUUUCCUUGCUUUUUAAGAAGCUUUUCUCCUGGCAACUUCUUGUCAAAUUUUCCACCACUAGCAGUUGCAGUAGCAGCUAACCCUGCUACAUUCCGCAGUUCAUCCUUUGUAAUUUUCUUGGAUGGGGCCUCUGUACCAGUUAUGGGCAAUGCUGUGGCAGCUAGUUGAACAUGGCUGCAGACAAUAGUUCACUCAGAUUGUGUUAUGCACUAUGAAAUAUAAAAGGAGCAAUACUAAAUGAAAUAUUUCAAACAGAAACCUAAGGAGAAAUGUAGUUGAUCUACCCAAACAUCAACCAACAGGGCAUGCUACAUGAGCAACCAAUAAGGCCUGCUUUAUGAGCAUGGAACUUCCAUAAAGCUCAUUAUUAGAAAAAAAAAAAAAACAUCAUAGCUCUUCACAGACCACCAGUUAUUUAAAUUUAACGAAUAAUCACAGGGCAAGUCACUAAUAUCCAAAAGCAUCUAUAGGCAUAGUCUAAAUCACACGAUUUUCAGACUUUUGAAGCAAAGCCAUAUCUAAAAUUAAUAGUGGUGAAAAAGGAAUCUACAAGACUGAAAAUGAAAAAGUUGAGAUUUGUUUAUUGAAAUCGAUAAGUUAUGCUGAAUUGAUUCAGACUGCUGAGUGAAACCUGUGCAUGAAGCAAAAGAAAAUUAAAACUUAUAUUUCAUGAGAACAAAUAACCCUUUAUAGGAAAAUGGGCAACAAAACCUUGGCAAAGCACCAACUUUUGCUGCUGCUUUCAAGUUCUGCAACCGAUUCUGCUGUUGCUUUCCAACCCGCUUUUUCUUUUCUGCCUGUCUCAUAGCAAAAGGAUCUACUCCUGGCUCUGUAAAAAAUGGAAAAUAUGACCCAUAAGGCAAGCUCCUUGGAAAGGUAUACAUGCUUCAAUCUAUCACCUUUUUUUUCUGGAGGAAAACAUAGUAUCUUCACAAGUAACCAAAUAGGCAAGACACGUAUACAAGGCCUCAUAUAAAAUCAGCGUUUAGUUUAUAACAUAUUGCUACUAUUUCUUUCAAAUUAUUUUUUUUUGAAAUAGCUAUUCUUUCACAUCACAAAAUACAUUUGAAGGCAAUAUAGGUAAUAAAAGGAUAUAGAUAAGGCUAAAAGAGCUUCUGCAGUCACUAACCAUCAGUUUCCUUGGCAUCAAUAAUAGGUACAUCUUUAUCAUCAUUAACGCGAUCAUAACCAUGGCGGCGUUUCCAUUGGGCGGUUUGCUCAUCCCAGACCACCUUAUCCUUCUUAUGCUUCUUUAUACCUGUACAAUAUUUCGAGAUGAUUGACAAAGCACAUGGGUUAAACCACAUAUAAAAAUUUAAUAUCAGUUAGACUGACAGUCUAUAUAUGAAAAAUCCCAGCACCAGUAAAUUUACAAUAAAUUUCCUCAAAAAAAAUGAAAAGAAGAGAAAAAGAAUCAAAUAGGCAAGUUGUUCACAGACUGAAUAAUAUGAUUGACUUACCUCUUUUUUUGGCGAAUUCUUCCCAUUUAGUAGGAGGUUUAGGCUUUGGCAGCUGGAAAACAAAAUCAAACAUUUGAGUUUUCAUAAUAAAAUUAAGAAAAUCCAUGCCAUUCUUUUAGCUUAUAGGAUCUCCUAUCCUGGUUUCCAUGGAAUCUCACCAAUUAAUUGUUUUCUUGUAUGUGUGACAUGUUACAUUUCAAAUAUAUGUUUCAUGGUAAAAUGCUAGAGAGCUACUGUAAGGCACUUCCCAAACCCUAGCCUCUUGGCCAUUCACAAAAGGAGACUCUGAACUAAAGUUCAAAAAUUUGACAGACAGCUCCAUUUGAAGCCGCCAUUUAAAUAAUCAUGUACAACUCUACUAUAUUUUACAAAAAGAGCACGAGAGCACCAGAUGUUUGAAACACCAGAAACCCAGAGUGCCAACAGUGUUCCUCAUUAAAUUUGGCUUAUUGUCUGGUGUUCAUUGAGAAAUAAUUAAGUACUUCCAGCAACAGCUGUUGAGAAGUAAAAUGUUUACAGAAUGGACAAACAUACCUAAUACCCAACCGCUAUCUCCCAGGAGAAAAAAAGAAGAAAAGAGAGGAAGAUGAGAGAUAUAAGUAAUUAUGGCUAAAAAGAUGUACAUACAGGCUUCUCUCUAGGCACUUUCGUUGUUGGUGGAGGCAACUUAGCAAGCGGACCAUCUAUGUCUUCAGUUGCAGGCAAGUUAAAAAGACCAUCUGCAAUUGCUUGUACUAGCUUAGUUCCUUCCUUUAAGCAUUCCUUUACAAGCUCCUCCCUAAAUCAGAAUGAAGUUCAUAAAAAUAACCGAUACUAAAGCAAAUUCUCCAUGGAACAAAAUUAUGAUCUUGUGCCAAAAACAUAGAACUUUAAUAAUUACAUACUACUAUUUGAAAAGGAAAUUCAAACGCAGAGAGUGGAAUGGGUGAAAUUUGCAUGUAGCCACAUUCAAAUCUUUACAUUAUAUUCCCCUCUAAAAACAAAAAACCCCAAUUUGGUUCUAGGGUGAUUAGCUACAAAAAGCAGACAGAAACUCUGUCUUAGCAUGUUCAGCAACAGGCAUGAAGAUAACAUUAUCGAAAUUUUUAGCAAAUCUUCUUCUAAUGGUCUAAGAGACAAGUUUUAGCUUCCAAGUAACUUAACCGAAAUAACAAAAUUUGCAGAACAAAACCAGUAGAGCCUUAAGCCUUUCUAUAUGCUAGUAAUAUCCUACCAAAGCAACAUCACCGAGUUCCAAGAAAAAUUAACUAAAUACUCCACAAAGAUACAUACAGAUGGAGAAAAGCAUAUAAACAAACCUGGAAGAAGGUAGAGAAGGGAAGUGGUGAUAAGGGUCGAAAGCCAUGAGAUUGCCGAGGUCUAUCUGGUAAGACUUUUCAGUCUCCAUCUCCUCUUUCCCCAUGUUUUAGCUCUCUUAUUUAUCUCUCAGCUCUUCUUUCCUUAGCGACCUAAUAAGAGAGUGAAAGAAGGAGUAAGCAAUUAUGAGUCAAAGUCGCUGGCCCGACGGUGCUGUGGGCUAGAAGAAAUGGCAACGGGAGGAACCCUAGCCGCUGGGAGGCGCGCGACUGGUAAGAAAAGAAGAGGAGGGUGAUGGAGAAGAUGGCUUGUCUUCUGCGCGUGGUAGUGACGGACUUGCCGCUGGCGUUAGGGUUCCAGGGUCUUUUGCUUGCUAUUUUACCUUUAUUUAUUUAUUUUUUUUAAAAAAUAAAGUUAAUAAUUUACUUUAAUAAAAAUAUUAAUUUUUAUAUUUUUACAAAAAAAAAACUUAUAAAAAAUUAUUUUUGACGUAAAAUUAAUUUUUCUUUUUAUAUUUUUUUAAUUGAAAUGGUUACAAAUUACCCAUUGGAGGCCCAUUAGAUGCUCAUUGGAGGCCCAAUAGAGGCCUGUUGAAGGCCCAUUACAUGCCCGUUGAAGGCCCAUUAACCAGGCCCAUUAAAGGCCCGCCAUAGGCCCAUCACAGGCCCAUUCUAUUAUCAUUACAGGCCCACUAAAAGGCCCAUUGAAGGCUUAUUAAAGGCCUCAAAUACAAUAUAUGACCUACAACGUCUGCGUAAUUUGAGCCGUUUUAUGAGGCCCAAUAAACUUAUGUGCCUGCGUUAGAUUAAGCAAGGAAUUAAGCCAUGAGCAAUGAAGAAACCAGCAAAAGCGACGUCGUCGUGCUUUGGAGGAAUCCCCACGUCUUUGAUUUUCUCGUAGUGAUGGCAGCCAGAAUUUUUCUCUUGGUCGGGGGAUUCAAAAUCCAGUCUUUAGCAGCCAUUCAAAAUAUUGGUGGCUUCAAUAUCAGCUUUGGGAUUCUCUUUAAUUUUUAAUUUUCUUUUUCUUCUUUUAUCCUCUUCAGAUGGGUUUUUUUUUUUCAGAUAAUUCUCUUACUUAAUCCCGAUUCCUGAUAAGGGUGAGUCCGUAGUUUUCAUAUUUUUAAUGGAUAUUGUAUGAACUUCUCAAUUUCAUCUCGUUAAAAAAAUAUAUAUAGAGAGAGAGGGAAGAAAUGAAACUGUGCGAUUGCUGAAUUGUCUGUUUGGAGGGUGAUUUCGUGAUUUGAUGGGUUUUUUUUAGCGUGUUACGUUGGAAAAUAUCUCAUGAUCAUUAGCUGGGUAUAUGUGUAGGACUGGCUGCGAUUCUCCGCUUUAGUUUUCUGUUUGGUUGAUCAGAAAGUAGAAGUUAUGUGUUUGCUCGAUUGCCUCUUUGAAGGGUGAUUUCAUAAUUAGAUAUGUUUUAACGUGUUAUGCUGGUUAAUAUGUCAUGAUCUUGGACUGGCUACCUAUGUGGGACUGGCUGCAAUUCUCUGGUUUGGAUUUCUGUUUGAUUUCCUGCAAAAUGAAAGUUCUGGGUUUUGCCGAAUUGCCUCUUUGAAGGGCGACUUUAUGUGUUUAGUGUGCUAUGGUAGAUUUAUCUCAUGAUCAUGAACUUGGUAUCUUUGUAGGACUAGCUGCAAUACCAUGAUCUGAUUUCAUGUUUGGUUGCUCAGAAAAUUAUUGAUUUCUUUUCUUUUCUUUUCUUUUUUGUGNNNN
Molecule: long non-coding RNA, 9252 nt
Filed under: Carica papaya (papaya)
Lineage: Eukaryota; Viridiplantae; Streptophyta; Magnoliopsida; Brassicales; Caricaceae
Description: long non-coding RNA (CPAP_LNC001919)
Source: RNAcentral